Molecule: ribosomal RNA, 253 nt
Filed under: uncultured bacterium
Lineage: Bacteria
Description: partial 16S ribosomal RNA
Rfam family: Bacterial small subunit ribosomal RNA
Source: RNAcentral
AACGUAGGUCCCGAGCGUUAUCCGGAUUUACUGGGCGUAAAGCGUGUUCAGGCGGUCUAGCAAGUCGGGCAUGAAAUCUCUCGGCUCAACCGGGAGGGGUUGUCCGAUACUGCUGGGCUUGAGGGCAGCAGAGGGUGGUGGAAUUCCGGGUGUAGUGGUGAAAUGCGUAGAUAUCCGGAGGAACACCGGUGGCGAAGGCGGGUCUCUGGGCCGUAACUGACGCUGAGGAGCGAAAGCAUGGGUAGCGAACAGG